This 536-nucleotide small RNA is filed under the name Pan troglodytes (chimpanzee). RNAcentral describes it as "processed transcript". The record is from RNAcentral. Lineage: Eukaryota; Metazoa; Chordata; Mammalia; Primates; Hominidae.
GAAGGCUGCCUGAUCAGAGAGUCUCUGAAGAAGAUUCUGUGGCUACAGGCUUCAGCAGAGUGUGAGGGAGACCCCGGUUAUUUCCUCAGCUAUUUCCACCAAAUCCUCCUGUCUUUUGUGGCCAACACCCCAGGCAAGGCUUGGGGCCCCUGUCUGCUGCUGGACGCAGAGCCAUGAAGAAGAAGUUAGUGGUGCUGGGCCUGCUGGCCGUGGUCCUGGUGCUGGUCAUUGUCGGCCUCUGUCUCUGGCUGCCCUCAGCCUCCAAGGAACCUGACAACCAUGUGUACACCAGGGCUGCCGUGGCCGCGGAUGCCAAGCAGUGCUCGGAGAUUGGGAGGAAAAGCUGAGGUCAUCAACGCCCGCGAGGUGGCCCCCAGGCUGGCCUUUGCCAGCAUGUUCAACAGCUCGGAGCAGUCCCAGAAGGCACUUUAGGAGGCCAAGUCAGGAGGAGCGCAUGAGCCCAGGAGUUUGAGACCUGCCUGGGCAACAUAGCAAGACUCUAUCUCUACAAAAAAUGGAAAAAAAAAAUUAGCUAG